UUGCCAAAGCCCAGCCUCCUUUUACCAUAAACCGCUUUAACCUUCCCCUAAGUCUACUCUUCACACUUGCCUUUCCAACAAAGAACAUGACUUCAGUUUUCUGAGAAUCUGACUUGUCCACACGAGUCUUAAGUCUGGUUAUUAAAUCUCACAGCAGACGUUUGCAGAUCAAAGAUAUUCAUGGGAUUAUAUAUCACACACUUCAAGUGGUAUUCCUCGAUUUACAUUUGAAUAAAUUGGUGAUCUGUAUAUUGUCUAUCUUACUUGCAAAGAUUCUGUUUUUUUGCUUCCACUAUUUAUGCAUAUCUUCCACCAUGAACCUUAUUUAGAUCUCCUGACUCAAUUUUUUCUCGAAUGUCAAUCUUUAAUGCCGUGGCAUUUUCUGAAAUUCCUAAACAAGUUUGUUAUUCAAACUCAACGCUAAAUUCUGCAAUAUAUAGAUAACAAAGAAAAUAAAAGUGUAUUUUGUUUUAACUAAUUCUUAGAUAAGAUAGUCACACAUUUUUUUGAUUUUUUUGUUAAUGUUGGUUGUUUCAUGUACUUUUGUUGCUUCCUUUUAGGGAUAAUUUUUUAUUGUUUUUCUUGUGUUUUCUAUCGAAAGCAACCACAUUUACGAAUGACUUAGGGGUAAGCAUGCUUUCACUCUAUCAUCUCCAUACACCACUUCGUAGACUACACGAAAUAUGUUACUGUUGCUGAUUUGGUUUCUAUACAUGAUCUUAUAUUGAAAAUUGCUACUCGUAUUUUACUGUCAGUGUCUAAUAGUUAAAUUUUUCCUUAUCUACUCUUAUGUUAACGAUAUAUUUUUGGGUUUGUGACUACUGCAGCAACAACAUAUGUGCUACAUGUGUUUUCUGAAUGUGUAGUAUGAAGUAUAAAUUCUCUGCUUCCUUAGUUUUAACAACUCUGAAUUGUUUAGAUUUGACUUAGCCAUGAUACUGUUUCAACAAACCAAAUCCUCUUCUGCAUGUGGUCUCUGGUAAUGGGGAGGUUUAUUUUUCACCUCAUUUAGCUGCUCAUGCACAUCAUGUAAUUCUGCUCUAAGAUCAAUUAUCAGCCCUUCAGUUUCAUUAAGCUGAGCUUCUAUAAUUCAUCAAUUCUUCUUUGCUGAUUUUAAGACAAAGUGUCAGCUUCAGUUGUCGCAUUAAAGGUUAGAAAAACCACUGUCAUUAAAUGGUGAGAUAUGGGAAUCAACAUCCUGCUAGGAUAUACUAUUAUGUCAUUCAAGUAAAAUCACUUCUCAGUAAGUACCAGCAUACAAACUUUUGAAGACCAUAAAUAUUAGGUAAUAUUGAAAGUUUACUCUUAACUGUUAAACUUUGUUCCAAGGAAGGCUUGAAUUUCUAAUGUGAUGUUUGAAAGUACUAUGAUUCAAGACAUAGGCUGGUAGUGCAGGAAACUUCUGAGAAUUGGACUGAACAGAAAACUUCUGAGGAUUUCAUGAAUAACACUCUUCUUGUUUUGUAAUUGUAACUAAAAUAUGGAUAUUUGUCAAUAUAUUGCAGAUAUGCCAAGGUUCAAGUGCUCGC
This 1529-nucleotide long non-coding RNA is filed under the name Capsicum annuum. Its description in RNAcentral is "long non-coding RNA (CANN_LNC009475)". Lineage: Eukaryota; Viridiplantae; Streptophyta; Magnoliopsida; Solanales; Solanaceae. The record is from RNAcentral.